RNAcentral lists this ribosomal RNA (1150 nucleotides) under fungal sp. RNAcentral's name for it is "eukaryotic LSU rRNA". The stretch from base 563 to 1150 matches the Rfam family "Eukaryotic large subunit ribosomal RNA", at positions 1 to 591 of the family's 3401-position model. Lineage: Eukaryota; Fungi. The record is from RNAcentral.
UAUCGAGCGCUGCGGGAGGGCUGAGGCGAAAAGCCCGACGCCUCCCGUACCUCAAACCCCUUGCAAGAGCGUAAAACUUGUUGCUUUGGCGCGCUGGCCUCGCGGCCACCGCCAGAAGGUUGCGAAACUCGUCUCAACCGUGAAGUCAGAGCCAUACCGAAAAAAUUUUUAAAACUUUCAACAACGGAUCUCUUGGUUCUCGCAUCGAUGAAGAACGCAGCGAAAUGCGAUAAGUAAUGUGAAUUGCAGAAUUCAGUGAAUCAUCGAAUCUUUGAACGCACAUUGCGCCCUUUGGUAUUCCGAGGGGCAUGCCUUUUCGAGCGUCAUGAGCAACAACAAUCAAGCUUUGCUUGGAAUUGAGCGCACGGAGACAGGUGCACUUCAAAGCAGAGGUAAAUGGCGUGGUCCGUAGGCCGGUAUAAGGUGCGGUCUGUUGGCCGUUCUGGCGCCGGUCGGCUCGCGCGGGAUGCCAGGUAUUGUACGCAGUCGCCUAGGCGGCCCGGCGGGCUAGGGUUCUUCGGCCCAGUAACUGCUAGUCUAGAACAGAAGGAAGCUAGACGUUGGACCUCGAAUAAGGUAGGGAUACCCGCUGAACUUAAGCAUAUCAAUAAGCGGAGGAAAAGAAACCAACAGGGAUUGCCUCAGUAACGGCGAGUGAAGCGGCAACAGCUCAAAUUUGAAAUCCGGCUCCUGUGGGAGCCUGAGUUGUAAUUUGGAGAGGAUGCUUCGGCUGAGGCCCUGGUCUAAGUUCCUUGGAACAGGACGUCACAGAGGGUGAGAACCCCGUAUGUGGUCAGGGAUCGACGCCGUGUGAAGCUCCUUCGACGAGUCGAGUUGUUUGGGAAUGCAGCUCUAAAUGGGAGGUAUAUUUCUUCUAAAGCUAAAUACCGGCGAGAGACCGAUAGCGCACAAGUAGAGUGAUCGAAAGAUGAAAAGCACUUUGGAAAGAGAGUUAAAAAGUACGUGAAAUUGUUGAAAGGGAAGCGCUUGCAACCAGAUAUGCGCGCAGUUGUUUAGCCGGGCUUCCUGCCCGGUGCACUCUUCUGCGUGCAUGCCAGCAUCGGUUUGGGCGGCCAGAUAAAGGCCGUGGGAAUGUAGCUCCUCUCGGGGAGUGUUAUAGCCCGCGGCGGAAUGUGGCCAGCCUAGACCG